RNAcentral lists this ribosomal RNA (642 nucleotides) under uncultured bacterium. RNAcentral's name for it is "bacterial SSU rRNA". It matches the Rfam family "Bacterial small subunit ribosomal RNA", at positions 202 to 842 of the family's 1533-position model. The record is from RNAcentral.
AAAGGAGCGAUCCGGUGACGGAUGGGCAUGCGUGACAUUAGCUAGUCGGCGGGGUAACGGCCCACCGAGGCGACGAUGUCUAGGGGUUCUGAGAGGAAGGUCCCCCACACUGGUACUGAGACACGGACCAGACUCCUACGGGAGGCAGCAGUGAGGAAUAUUGGUCAAUGGGCUUACGCCUGAACCAGCCAAGUCGCGUGAGGGAAGACUGCCCUAUGGGUUGUAAACCUCUUUUGUCAGGGAGCAACGCCGGCUACGUGUAGCCGGACUGAGAGUACCUGAAGAAAAAGCAUCGGCUAACUCCGUGCCAGCAGCCGCGGUAAUACGGAGGAUGCGAGCGUUAUCCGGAUUUAUUGGGUUUAAAGGGUGCGUAGGCGGAAUGCCAAGUCAGCGGUAAAAUCGCGGGGCUCAACCUCGCUCCGCCGUUGAAACUGGCGUUCUUGAGUGGGCGAGAAGUAUGCGGAAUGCGUGGUGUUGCGGUGAAAUGCAUAGAUAUCACGCAGAACUCCGAUUGCGAAGGCAGCAUACCGGCGCCCAACUGACGCUGAAGCACGAAAGCGUGGGUAUCGAACAGGAUUAGAUACCCUGGUAGUCCACGCAGUAAACGAUGAAUACUAGCUGUUCGGGGCAAAUGAGCCUUGA